UGUGGGAGCGGGCUUGCUCGCGAUAGUGGUGUAUCAGCCAAGUAUCUUUCAACUGACCUACAGCUAUCGCGGGCAAGCCCGCUCCCACA
RNAcentral lists this unclassified non-coding RNA (89 nucleotides) under Pseudomonas gessardii. The record is from RNAcentral. Lineage: Bacteria; Pseudomonadati; Pseudomonadota; Gammaproteobacteria; Pseudomonadales; Pseudomonadaceae.